This 83-nucleotide small nucleolar RNA is filed under the name Madurella mycetomatis. Lineage: Eukaryota; Fungi; Ascomycota; Sordariomycetes; Sordariales. The record is from RNAcentral.
CUUUCAUGAUGAGAUCUUCCAUUUCAGUUCUGCUUCUGAAGAAGAAUGAAGAUACCUAUAUACCAAAAAACAAACUCUGAUAU